This 29-nucleotide non-coding RNA is filed under the name Mus musculus (house mouse). Lineage: Eukaryota; Metazoa; Chordata; Mammalia; Rodentia; Muridae. The record is from RNAcentral.
UCCUUGAUUUGCCUCUGUGUUCUCCCAUG